This 398-nucleotide ribosomal RNA is filed under the name uncultured bacterium. RNAcentral's name for it is "partial 16S ribosomal RNA". It matches the Rfam family "Bacterial small subunit ribosomal RNA", at positions 523 to 918 of the family's 1533-position model. The record is from RNAcentral.
AUACGUAGGGUGCGAGCGUUGUCCGGAAUUACUGGGCGUAAAGAGCUCGUAGGUGGUUUGUCGCGUCGUCUGUGAAAUUCCGGGGCUUAACUCCGGGCGUGCAGGCGAUACGGGCAUAACUUGAGUACUGUAGGGGAGACUGGAAUUCCUGGUGUAGCGGUGAAAUGCGCAGAUAUCAGGAGGAACACCGGUGGCGAAGGCGGGUCUCUGGUCAAUAACGGAAGCUGAGGAGCGAAAGCAUGGGUAGCGAACAGGAUUAGAUACCCUGGUAGUCCAUGCCGUAACCGGUGGGCGCUAGGUGUAGGGGUCUUCCACGACUUCUGUGCCGUAGCUAACGCAUUAAGCGACCCGCCUGGGGAGUACGGCCGCAAGGCUAAAACUCAAAUGAAUUUACGGGG